GUCAUAUGCUUGUCUCAAAGAUUAAGCCAUGCAUGUCUCAGUACAAGCCAAAUUAAGGUGAAACCGCGAAAGGCUCAUUAAAUCAGUUAUGGUUCCUUAGAUCGUACCCACAAUUACUUGGAUAACUGUGGUAAUUCUAGAGCUAAUACAUGCAAACAGAGCUCCGACCGGAGACGGGAGGAGUGCUUUUAUUAGAUCAAAACCAAUCGGUGGCGGGUUCGCGCUCGUCAUCGUACAACUUGGUGACUCUGAAUAACUUUACGCUGAUCGCACGGUCAUCGCACCGGCGACGCAUCUUUCAAAUGUCUGCCUUAUCAACUGUCGAUGGUAGGUUCUGCGCCUACCAUGGUUGUAACGGGUAACGGGGAAUCAGGGUUCGAUUCCGGAGAGGGAGCCUGAGAAACGGCUACCACAUCCAAGGAAGGCAGCAGGCGCGCAAAUUACCCACUCCCGGCACGGGGAGGUAGUGACGAAAAAUAACGAUACGGGACUCAUCCGAGGCCCCGUAAUCGGAAUGAGUACACUCUAAACCCUUUAACGAGGAUCAAUUGGAGGGCAAGUCUGGUGCCAGCAGCCGCGGUAAUUCCAGCUCCAAUAGCGUAUAUUAAAGUUGUUGCGGUUAAAAAGCUCGUAGUCGAAUUUGUGUCUCGCGCCGCCGGUUCAUCGUCCGCGGUGUUAACUGGCGAGUCGCGAGACGUCCUGCCGGUGGGCUUAGCUCGCGAGGGCGAUGCCCAACUCAAUCCUGCCGCGGUGCUCUUCAUUGAGUGUCGAGGUGGGCCGGCACGUUUACUUUGAACAAAUUAGAGUGCUUAAAGCAGGCUAAAACUUCGCCUGAAUACUGUGUGCAUGGAAUAAUGGAAUAGGACCUCGGUUCUAUUUUGUUGGUUUUCGGAACCCCGAGGUAAUGAUUAAUAGGAACGGAUGGGGGCAUUCGUAUUGCGACGUUAGAGGUGAAAUUCUUGGAUCGUCGC
RNAcentral lists this ribosomal RNA (971 nucleotides) under Trigonopterus sp. 916 AR-2022a. RNAcentral's name for it is "SSU rRNA". It matches the Rfam family "Eukaryotic small subunit ribosomal RNA", at positions 23 to 931 of the family's 1831-position model. Lineage: Eukaryota; Metazoa; Arthropoda; Insecta; Coleoptera; Curculionidae. The record is from RNAcentral.